GGCCCGUUGGUCAAGGGUUGAACACCUCCCUUUCACGGAGGUAACAGGGUUCGAAUCCCCUACGGGUCACCA
This 72-nucleotide transfer RNA is filed under the name Paenibacillus larvae. Its description in RNAcentral is "tRNA-Glu". It matches the Rfam family "tRNA". Rfam says of the family: Transfer RNA (tRNA) molecules are approximately 80 nucleotides in length. Their secondary structure includes four short double-helical elements and three loops (D, anti-codon, and T loops). Lineage: Bacteria; Bacillati; Bacillota; Bacilli; Caryophanales; Paenibacillaceae. The record is from RNAcentral.